UUGCGAUCUCGGGCGACCACCAGAAUGC
This 28-nucleotide small RNA is filed under the name Bombyx mori (domestic silkworm). RNAcentral's name for it is "ovarian small RNA-150". Lineage: Eukaryota; Metazoa; Arthropoda; Insecta; Lepidoptera; Bombycidae. The record is from RNAcentral.